This 41-nucleotide non-coding RNA is filed under the name Trypanosoma brucei brucei. Lineage: Eukaryota; Euglenozoa; Kinetoplastea; Trypanosomatida; Trypanosomatidae. The record is from RNAcentral.
AUCAACAAAACUGCCAUUUUCUGUAGUAAGUGAUGAUAUAU